AUUGAACGCUGGCGGCAGGCCUAACACAUGCAAGUCGAGCGGUAGCACAGGAGAGCUUGCUCUCUGGGUGACGAGCGGCGGACGGGUGAGUAAUGUCUGGGAAACUGCCUGAUGGAGGGGGAUAACUACUGGAAACGGUAGCUAAUACCGCAUAACGUCUUCGGACCAAAGUGGGGGACCUUCGGGCCUCACGCCAUCAGAUGUGCCCAGAUGGGAUUAGCUAGUAGGUGGGGUAAUGGCUCACCUAGGCGACGAUCCCUAGCUGGUCUGAGAGGAUGACCAGCCACACUGGAACUGAGACACGGUCCAGACUCCUACGGGAGGCAGCAGUGGGGAAUAUUGCACAAUGGGCGCAAGCCUGAUGCAGCCAUGCCGCGUGUGUGAAGAAGGCCUUCGGGUUGUAAAGCACUUUCAGCGAGGAGGAAGGGUGGUGUGUUAAUAGCACAUCACAUUGACGUUACUCGCAGAAGAAGCACCGGCUAACUCCGUGCCAGCAGCCGCGGUAAUACGGAGGGUGCAAGCGUUAAUCGGAAUUACUGGGCGUAAAGCGCACGCAGGCGGUUUGUUAAGUCAGAUGUGAAAUCCCCGCGCUUAACGUGGGAACUGCAUUUGAAAACUGGCAAGCUAGAGUCUUGUAGAGGGGGGUAGAAUUC
Molecule: ribosomal RNA, 653 nt
Filed under: uncultured Serratia sp.
Lineage: Bacteria; Pseudomonadati; Pseudomonadota; Gammaproteobacteria; Enterobacterales; Yersiniaceae
Description: bacterial SSU rRNA
Rfam family: Bacterial small subunit ribosomal RNA
Source: RNAcentral